RNAcentral lists this long non-coding RNA (700 nucleotides) under Sarcophilus harrisii (Tasmanian devil). Its description in RNAcentral is "lncRNA (ENSSHAG00000029063.1)". Lineage: Eukaryota; Metazoa; Chordata; Mammalia; Dasyuromorphia; Dasyuridae. The record is from RNAcentral.
AAACACUCCGGACCUUGGAGACAGACCAGCUAGUCUGUAAAUAAUGAAUCCCUGUCCAGUAGACAGGGAUUAGAAGCUGAUCAUCUGAAAGAAACAGCUUCAAUAUAAGAGAGAGAGGAGAGAUAAAGAGACCUGAGUGUUCCAACCACCAGCUUGAAGACCACCACAGUUGAUUCUCCUCAACUGGAAGAAUUCCCAAGUAACCUGUAUAUGUGUGAGCCGUAGGAAAUCAUCUCCCUGUCCUCGAGAUGCUAACGAUCAGAUGUGGAAGAUGGAGAAGAAAAAAGAAGCACGCAUUAAAGCCCUCUGGGUCCUGUGGCCAGAUGUAGAUCAAGAUGACUGGAGGUGCCCCCGCAUGAGCACACCCUGACACAUCAUUUUGCCAUGGCGUACCUCUUGGAUAUUAAAGAUAAAAACAAUAUACAUUAAAAAGCGCCCAGUGUAAGUACAUGGAAAUGCUUACUGUUUGAUGGAAUGGUAUGAGAGGACUGGAAACACAAUGGAAAUGUACAGAAAGAAAGCAAUAAAAUCCAGGUAAAAGACAAGGGACUUCCAGGAGAUCAGAGAGAAAUAUCCAUCCUCUUCUAUCUUUCCCUUAAAAGAUGGGCAAUGAUGUGCCCUCUCUUGAGACAAUUUUUCUCCCCAUUUGAUGGGAUCGUCCUUGGGGGAAAUAAAAUGUUGUUGGGAAUCAUCCAUUCUG